UGCAAUUAUUGUUCAAUUGCAGUUCUUGUUCAAACUUACUCCAAAUCUCCACCAAAUGAUUUUAAAUUUUGUAGAACAACUUCCUUGGACUAUUUCCAACAAGCAUAAACAAGAUCCUCUCCAAAUUUCUCACAAAUAUUAAAUUCUACUUCUUCAAGCUUUUUUAGCAAAGGUCGAUAAUCUUUCUAAUUGAAUUUUCAACCCAAUCUUACAAAAUCAGUACUCUAACUAUGAUUUAAGCUCCAAACACCAACAAUAAAUCGAGUUUGUCAAUUAACGAUCAGGAGGGGGCAAGAAGGAAAAUAGGGGAAAGUGACCUAACUUUGAAAUUAUAUUAUACAAUAUGGGCAAAUUCGGAUAAGGGCUGAAAAACGUGGCUCAUUUUAUUUGGGGGAUUCAGGGUGACAUCGCUUCUUAAACAAAUAGAAUGCUCUUUGACGUGGUCAUGUGUUUUUGCACUUCAUUCAUCUGUUGAGCCAAGCAGAGUGUAAUUCAGAAAGUAAGGGGAACUAUGAAAUUUCAUGGAUAAUGUAUGCCAGCUGAAAAAGAAUAUAGUCGUGCAGACAAGAGUUUAGCGAAGACUAUCAAUACAAAUAAAUUCGACUGACC
Long non-coding RNA from Nicotiana tabacum (common tobacco), 609 nucleotides. RefSeq lists it as uncharacterized. The record is from RefSeq and is a predicted model, not a curated record. Lineage: Eukaryota; Viridiplantae; Streptophyta; Magnoliopsida; Solanales; Solanaceae.